This 253-nucleotide ribosomal RNA is filed under the name uncultured Bacteroides sp. Its description in RNAcentral is "partial 16S ribosomal RNA". It matches the Rfam family "Bacterial small subunit ribosomal RNA", at positions 524 to 776 of the family's 1533-position model. Lineage: Bacteria; Pseudomonadati; Bacteroidota; Bacteroidia; Bacteroidales; Bacteroidaceae. The record is from RNAcentral.
UACAGAGGUCUCAAGCGUUGUUCGGAAUCACUGGGCGUAAAGCGUGCGUAGGCUGUUUCGUAAGUCAGUUGUGAAAGUUUGCGGCUCAACCGUAAAAUUGCAGUUGAAACUGGCAGUCUUGAGUACAGUAGAGGUGGGCGGAAUUCGUGGUGUAGCGGUGAAAUGCUUAGAUAUCACGAAGAACUCCGAUUGCGAAGGCAGCUCACUGGACUGCAACUGACACUGAGGCUCGAAAGUGUGGGUAUCAAACAGG